Molecule: long non-coding RNA, 236 nt
Filed under: Zonotrichia albicollis (white-throated sparrow)
Lineage: Eukaryota; Metazoa; Chordata; Aves; Passeriformes; Passerellidae
Description: lncRNA (ENSZALG00000006175.1)
Source: RNAcentral
UGGGAAAAACAGUUUAUGUUUUAAGCUUCGUGUGACCUCUGGAGCUUCUGGGCAUUGGAAGGUGACCUGGAGACCUUCAGCUUCUGCUUCCUGUCUCGAGCCGCACAUGAGCAGCAAGAAUGUGUUGCAGGGACUGGAUGAAAUUCACCCUGAGCUCCAAAUCCCUAAUGCUGCCUUAGCUGGGAUUAUGAGAGAAGCCACCGUGGUAUCACCUGAAAUCCACCUCCCGGUGCCUC